RNAcentral lists this ribosomal RNA (470 nucleotides) under uncultured bacterium. RNAcentral's name for it is "partial 16S rRNA". The record is from RNAcentral.
GCACGUAGUUAGUCGUGGCUUUUUGCUCAGAUGCAAGCUUUUAGGAGUACACCUGAGUAAAGAAGUUUACAAUCCGUAGACCUUCCUCCUUCACGUAGCAUUGCGCGGUCAGGGUUGCCCCCAUUGCCGACGAUUCCCCAUUGCUGCCUCCCGUAGGAGUAGGGACCGUGUUUCAGUUCCCUUGUGGCCAAUCAGCCUCUUAGCCUGGCUACGCGUCAUUGCCUCAGUAGGCCAUUACCCCACUUUCAUCGGCUGUUGAUUGAUGCGACUUAUCCCCAUCAUUUAGCGAAAGCCCGAAGGCUUCCUUUCCUUUGCCCGCGGCCGAAGCCGAAGCCAAAGAAUAUGCGGUAUUUUAUCCCCCACUAAAAGGUAGGUAAGAUAAGCAUUACUCACCCGUACGCCGCUAAAAAUGAUAUUGCUAUCACUUUCCGCUCGACUUGCAUAUGUUAGGCAUGCUACCAACGUUCAUC